This is a non-coding RNA of Oncorhynchus mykiss (rainbow trout), 806 nucleotides long. Lineage: Eukaryota; Metazoa; Chordata; Actinopteri; Salmoniformes; Salmonidae. The record is from RefSeq and is a predicted model, not a curated record.
UUCAGUUUUUAAUAUGAGAGAAUUGUUUUCAUAAGUAAAAUAUGCUCACUCAGUGGCCACACCCACGCGAAUAGGCAUUGGUUGUAAAUGAACAAACCCCUUUUCUACAUUUCUAUAAGAGCCCCCGUGACCCAAUUCACGGCAAACUAAACAAACCUCAGCAUGAGCUCUAGUUGCGAAUGGUUGAACGACUACAACCUAACAAAAUUAACACUGUGUUCCCGAUGACGUGAGGACUGGUGUCCAUACGUUAAAAAGGGGGAUUUUUAACGUGGAGGUGACGAUCGCCACGCUGGAAGGAUGAAUUUCGAUUAUACCAGCCAGAAUAUAGCAUGAGCUCAUUGUAUGGCAACUUGGUAUGAACUUUGAACUCUUAUUCACUAAAGAAGUGAUAACUCUACGUCUAGGAUGUAUCAGCAGCAACUGUAAAAUGUGCGUGGCCUAGGGAAGGACAGACAAUCUCUUCAGAACGACAGGGUGCUACAACGUAUCCAUUCUACCACACGACGACAGACUACAACGUAUCCACCCAGAAAUAUUCUUCAAAGGACAAGGGAGCUCUCUGCUGGGCAACCCAGCCUUCCAUCUUCGACCAAUCUAUCGAAGCACAGCUCAGAUGGACCGUAUGGGGAGGAGUCUGGAACGUAUUGGGAGGAGUCUGGAACGUAUGGGGAGGAGUCUGGAACGUAUGGGGAGGAGUCUGGAACGUAUGGGGAGGAGUCUUGAAUAAUGCAGUAUCCUGAGGUCCUUGUCCCCCGAUUGUUCAGUGUGGCCGGGUGGCCAGCCCCUGGAGGAGUCUUGGUGGU